RNAcentral lists this ribosomal RNA (253 nucleotides) under uncultured bacterium. RNAcentral's name for it is "partial 16S ribosomal RNA". It matches the Rfam family "Bacterial small subunit ribosomal RNA", at positions 524 to 776 of the family's 1533-position model. The record is from RNAcentral.
UACAGAGGGUGCGAGCGUUGUCCGGAUUUACUGGGCGUAAAGCGCACGUAGGCGGAUCGUUAAGUCGGGGGUGAAAUCCUGGAGCUCAACUCCAGAACUGCCUUCGAUACUGGCGAUCUAGAGUCCGGAAGAGGUGAGUGGAACUCCUAGUGUAGAGGUGGAAUUCGUAGAUAUUAGGAAGAACACCAGUGGCGAAGGCGGCUCACUGGUCCGGUACUGACGCUGAGGUGCGAAAGCGUGGGGAGCAAACAGG